CAGCAGCCACGGGAAUACAGAGGGUGCGAGCGUUAAUCGGAUUUACUGGGCGUAAAGCGUGCGUAGGCGGCUUUUUAAGUCGGAUGUGAAAUCCCUGAGCUUAACUUAGGAAUUGCAUUCGAUACUGGGAAGCUAGAGUAUGGGAGAGGAUGGUAGAAUUCCAGGUGUAGCGGUGAAAUGCGUAGAGAUCUGGAGGAAUACCGAUGGCGAAGGCAGCCAUCUGGCCUAAUACUGACGCUGAGGUACGAAAGCAUGGGGAGCAAACAGGAUUAGAGACCCGAGUAGUCCCUGUCUCUUAUAC
RNAcentral lists this ribosomal RNA (301 nucleotides) under uncultured bacterium. Its description in RNAcentral is "partial 16S ribosomal RNA". It matches the Rfam family "Bacterial small subunit ribosomal RNA", at positions 509 to 807 of the family's 1533-position model. The record is from RNAcentral.